UACGGAGGGGGCAAGCGUUGUUCGGAAUUACUGGGCGUAAAGGGCGCGUAGGCGGCCUGUUAAGUCGAACGUGAAAUCCCCGGGCUCAACCCGGGAACUGCGUCCGAUACUGGCAGGCUUGAAUUCGGGAGAGGGAUGCGGAAUUCCAGGUGUAGCGGUGAAAUGCGUAGAUAUCUGGAGGAACACCGGUGGCGAAGGCGGCGUUCUGGACUGCAACUGACACUGAGAAACGAAAGCCAGGGGAGCAAACGGG
This 253-nucleotide ribosomal RNA is filed under the name uncultured bacterium. Its description in RNAcentral is "partial 16S ribosomal RNA". It matches the Rfam family "Bacterial small subunit ribosomal RNA", at positions 524 to 776 of the family's 1533-position model. The record is from RNAcentral.